GCAUGGAUUUGGAUUUACGACAGGCCCAUCCCCAUGGACCUCUCAUAGUGUCUUAUGUCAGAGCAAACUGUAGCCCAAACCAUUACCUGGCCUUGUCUGUAGGCCUCAGCACUGAAAAGGGUUGCACAGUG
Molecule: small nucleolar RNA, 131 nt
Filed under: Dasypus novemcinctus (nine-banded armadillo)
Lineage: Eukaryota; Metazoa; Chordata; Mammalia; Cingulata; Dasypodidae
Description: Small nucleolar RNA SNORA42/SNORA80 family (ENSDNOG00000037640.1)
Rfam family: Small nucleolar RNA SNORA42/SNORA80 family
About the family: The members of this family belong to the H/ACA class of snoRNAs that guide the sites of modification of uridines to pseudouridines. Human ACA42 (SNORA42) was cloned from HeLa cells by immunoprecipitation with anti-GAR1 antibody.
Source: RNAcentral